RNAcentral lists this ribosomal RNA (116 nucleotides) under uncultured eukaryote. RNAcentral describes it as "partial small subunit ribosomal RNA". It matches the Rfam family "Bacterial small subunit ribosomal RNA", at positions 1410 to 1525 of the family's 1533-position model. The record is from RNAcentral.
GUGGGCUGUACUCGAAGACGGUGCGCUAACCGCAAGGAGGCAGCCGGCCACGGUAAGGUCAGCGACUGGGGUGAAGUCGUAACAAGGUAGCCGUAGGUGAACCUGCAGAAGGAUCA